Molecule: ribosomal RNA, 484 nt
Filed under: uncultured bacterium
Lineage: Bacteria
Description: partial 16S ribosomal RNA
Rfam family: Bacterial small subunit ribosomal RNA
Source: RNAcentral
AUUGAACGCUGGCGGCAGGCCUAACACAUGCCAGUCGAGCGGAUGAAGGGAGCUUGCUCCUGGAUUCAGCGGCGGACGGGUGAGUAAUGCCUAGGAAUCUGCCUGGUAGUGGGGGAUAACGUCCGGAAACGGGCGCUAAUACCGCAUACGUCCUGAGGGAGAAAGUGGGGGAUCUUCGGACCUCACGCUAUCAGAUGAGCCUAGGUCGGAUUAGCUAGUUGGUGGGGUAACGGCCUACCAAGGCGACGAUCCGUAACUGGUCUGAGAGGAUGAUCAGUCACACUGGAACUGAGGCACGGUCCAGACUCCUACGGGAGGCAGCAGUGGGGAAUAUUGGACAAUGGGCGAAAGCCUGAUCCAGCCAUGCCGCGUGUGUGAAGAAGGUCUUCGGAUUGUAAAGCACUUUAAGUUGGGAGGAAGGGCAGUAAGUUAAUACCUUGCUGUUUUGACGUUACCAACAGAAUAAGCACCGGCUAACUUCGUG